RNAcentral lists this ribosomal RNA (440 nucleotides) under uncultured bacterium. Its description in RNAcentral is "partial 16S ribosomal RNA". It matches the Rfam family "Bacterial small subunit ribosomal RNA", at positions 338 to 795 of the family's 1533-position model. The record is from RNAcentral.
CCUACGGGAGGCAGCAGUAGGGAAUAUUGCUCAAUGGGGGAAACCCUGAAGCAGCAACGCCGCGUGGAGGAUGAAGGUUCUCUGAUUGUAAACUCCUUUUGGUAGAGAAGAUAAUGCCGGUAUCUUCCGACUAAGCACCGGCUAACUCCGUGCCAGUCGCCGCGGUAAUACGGAGGGUGCAAGCGUUACUCGGAAUCACUGGGCGUAAAGGGCGCGUAGGCGGGAUAGCAAGUCAGGUGUGAAAUCCUAUGGCUUAAGCAUAGAACAGCAGUUGAAACGGUUAUUCUAGAGUAUGGGAGAGGUAGGUGGAAUUCUUGGUGUAGGGGUAAAAUCCGUAGAGAUCAAGAGGAAUACUCAUUGCGAAGGCGACCUGCUAGAACAUAACUGACGCUGAUGCGCGAAAGCGUGGGGAGCAAACAGGAUUAGAUACCCCUGUAGUC